AACUGGCCAGCUGGUGGCACAAGGGUUUCUUUAGAGCUUACGUCCCUAAAGCUCCAUACUACUUCCAUCACGCUUCUUGGAAAGGCAUCCCGCCGCCAGCGUUCAGCAGAAGAGCAGAGGAAGCGGUGUUUCGAUUACAAAUACCAAAGCCAUCACUUUCUUGUGCCCUAUCCUCCCACGAAGGUCGUGAGAGGGAAGAAAACCCCACUGCUGCCUGCCCCUUCCAACCCCUCCGGCGCGGUGCUGAGCGGUGCUGAGCGGCUCCAGCAGAGCCAGAGGUUUUUCAGACUGAGCUGUCUUUGCAUUGACUCACUUACUGAGAGUGAUCGCUCUGUUUCUGUGAAGAAUGAAGGUUCAGAAGAUUCAUGA
RNAcentral lists this long non-coding RNA (369 nucleotides) under Anas platyrhynchos platyrhynchos (common mallard). RNAcentral's name for it is "lncRNA (ENSAPLG00000019784.1)". The record is from RNAcentral. Lineage: Eukaryota; Metazoa; Chordata; Aves; Anseriformes; Anatidae.